RNAcentral lists this ribosomal RNA (458 nucleotides) under uncultured bacterium. RNAcentral describes it as "partial 16S ribosomal RNA". It matches the Rfam family "Bacterial small subunit ribosomal RNA", at positions 338 to 795 of the family's 1533-position model. The record is from RNAcentral.
CCUACGGGAGGCAGCAGUGGGGAAUAUUGCACAAUGGGGGAAACCCUGAUGCAGCGACGCCGCGUGAGUGAAGAAGUAAUUCGUUACGUAAAGCUCUAUCAGCAGGGAAGAAAUACUGACCUUACGGUCAGCAGACGGUACCUGAGUAAGAAGCCCCGGCUAACUACGUGCCAGCAGCCGCGGUAAUACGUAGGGGGAAAGCGUUAUCCGGAUUUACGGGGGGUAAAGGGAGCGUAGACGGUGCGCCAAGGCUGGAGUGAAAUGCCGCAGCUUAACUGCGGAACUGCUUUGGAAACUGGCGAACGAGAGUGCGGGAGGGGGAAGCGGAAUUCCUAGUGUAGCGGUGAAAUGCGUAGAGAGUAGGAGGAACACCGGUGGCGAAGGCGGCUUACUGGACCGUAACUGACGUUGAGGCUCGAAAGCGUGGGGAGCAAACAGGAUUAGAUACCCUAGUAGUC